CCCUUUGCGCCGGCCUACACAUGCAGUCGAGCGGAACGAGUUAUCUGAACCUUCGGGGGACGAUAACGGCGUCGAGCGGCGGACGGGUGAGUAAUGCCUAGGAAAUUGCCCUGAUGUGGGGGAUAACCAUUGGAAACGAUGGCUAAUACCGCAUGAUGCCUACGGGCCAAAGAGGGGGACCUUCGGGCCUCUCGCGUCAGGAUAUGCCUAGGUGGGAUUAGCUAGUUGGUGAGGUAAGGGCUCACCAAGGCGACGAUCCCUAGCUGGUCUGAGAGGAUGAUCAGCCACACUGGAACUGAGACACGGUCCAGACUCCUACGGGAGGCAGCAGUGGGGAAUAUUGCACAAUGGGCGCAAGCCUGAUGCAGCCAUGCCGCGUGUGUGAAGAAGGCCUUCGGGUUGUAAAGCACUUUCAGUCGUGAGGAAGGUGGUGUAGUUAAUAGCUGCAUUAUUUGACGUUAGCGACAGAAGAAGCACCGGCUAACUCCGUGCCAGCAGCCGCGGUAAUACGGAGGGUGCGAGCGUUAAUCGGAAUUACUGGGCGUAAAGCGCAUGCAGGUGGUUUGUUAAGUCAGAUGUGAAAGCCCGGGGCUCAACCUCGGAAUUGCAUUUGAAACUGGCAGACUAGAGUACUGUAGAGGGGGGUAGAAUUUCAGGUGUAGCGGUGAAAUGCGUAGAGAUCUGAAGGAAUACCGGUGGCGAAGGCGGCCCCCUGGACAGAUACUGACACUCAGAUGCGAAAGCGUGGGGAGCAAACAGGAUUAGAUACCCUGGUAGUCCACGCCGUAAACGAUGUCUACUUGGAGGUUGUGGCCUUGAGCCGUGGCUUUCGGAGCUAACGCGUUAAGUAGACCGCCUGGGGAGUACGGUCGCAAGAUUAAAACUCAAAUGAAUUGACGGGGGCCCGCACAAGCGGUGGAGCAUGUGGUUUUAAUUUCGAUGCAACGCGAAGAACCCUUACCUACUCUUGACAUCCAGAGAACUUUCCAGAGAUGGGAUUGCUGCCUUUCGGGAACUCUGAGACAGUGCUGCAUGGCUGGUCGUCAGCUCGUGCUGUGAAUGUUGGUUCAGGUCCGGCACGAGCGCAAGCCGUUAUCCUGCUUGCCAGCGAAGUAAUGUUCACA
This 1124-nucleotide ribosomal RNA is filed under the name uncultured Vibrio sp. RNAcentral's name for it is "bacterial SSU rRNA". It matches the Rfam family "Bacterial small subunit ribosomal RNA", at positions 34 to 1136 of the family's 1533-position model. The record is from RNAcentral. Lineage: Bacteria; Pseudomonadati; Pseudomonadota; Gammaproteobacteria; Vibrionales; Vibrionaceae.